Molecule: long non-coding RNA, 465 nt
Organism: Cynara cardunculus var. scolymus (artichoke)
Lineage: Eukaryota; Viridiplantae; Streptophyta; Magnoliopsida; Asterales; Asteraceae
Exons: 2
Source: RefSeq, a predicted model, not a curated record
CCGAUUACGAUGAUUCAGGCGUUUCUCUUACUCCCCAAGAUGACAAUUCCCUUUAAAGCGAGUUUCCAUCGCUCAAUCGUUCAAUCCAUCUCCAUCGUUCAAUCGUCCCUCCCAUCUUCUCUCAAUCUUCCAUCGUUCAAUCCAUCUUCAUACGACGAUUCAGGCAUUUCUCUCAAUCGUUCAAUCCAUCUCCAUCUCUAGUUGGAAGGUCAUUGUUGGAAGACUCAAGACUCAAUUCAAGGUGAUCCAUUGACUAGUCUAGGUUUCCCACAUACCCUUUCAUUGAAGAUCUUCAUAUUCUCUGGUACUCGAUUUCCCACAUACCCUUUCAUUUAUUCAUUAUUAAAACCUGGAUCUACUGUGUUAUAGAUGAUGGAUAGUUUCCUGUCAUAUUUUACUUUUUGUUGGAUUUUAUCUUUGAAUUUGACUUGAAACCCGAAUUUAUGAAGUGGGUAGUUUCCUGUC